This 492-nucleotide ribosomal RNA is filed under the name uncultured bacterium. Its description in RNAcentral is "partial 16S ribosomal RNA". It matches the Rfam family "Bacterial small subunit ribosomal RNA", at positions 371 to 834 of the family's 1533-position model. The record is from RNAcentral.
AUGGAGGGCAACUCCUGACCCAGCCAUGCCGCGUGCAGUGAAGACUGCCCUAUGGGUUGUAAACUGCUUUUAUACAGGAAGAAACACACCUACGUGUAGGUGCUUGACGGUACUGUAAGAAUAAGCACCGGCUAACUCCGUGCCAGCAGCCGCGGUAAUACGGAGGGUGCAAGCGUUAUCCGGAAUCAUUGGGUUUAAAGGGUCCGCAGGCGGUCAAUUAAGUCAGAGGUGAAAUCCCAUAGCUCAACUAUGGAACUGCCUUUGAUACUGGUUGACUUGAGUUAUACGGAAGUANNAUAGAAUAAGUAGUGUACCGGUGAAAUGCAUANGAUAUGACUUAAAAUUUNUCUUNAUUGCGAAGGGCAGNUCUACUANCGUANUAUANCUGANCGCUCCAUGGNACAAAAAGCGUGGGGNAGCGAACAGGGAUNAAAUNACCCCUGGGUAAUUCCCCCCCNNUAAAACAAUGGAACACUNAUUUGGUUGGGAAAU